UUGUAUCAAUGGAAGAAAAAAAAAAUUGGUGCAGUUAUAGUAAUUGCCAAGGGAGAUUUCAUGGCACAAAUUGGACAAAGAAAACAAAUGAUAUCCUAUCAUUGAAGUAUACUAAGGCUAAAACCCUUUAGUGUAUUUUUCUUUUCAGAAGCUAGAAGAAAGGCCAAGCAUUGGAGUUAGACUAGAUGCGUUUACAAUUGUUCGAAUCCUUAAUAACGAGAUGACGUGGCGAAUGAGGAAGUAGCACGUAGCAUCACAAGUCAUGGAAAAACGACAAAGUAUUGAAAAAAGACCGAUGAGCAAAAAAUAAUAAGUCCAUGACCUAUAAGGAAGUCGAUCAGGCCUAAACCCCCUAGGGGUGGUCGGGCCACCCUAUUCUUCAUAGGGUGGUCGGCCUAAACUCCCAAAUACACUUCACUAGAUAAAGUUCACGCUCGUUCAAGCCGAGAUCAACAUGCCUAACACCCAGAAGAUCAACAGGCCUAGCACCAAGAGGAUCAACAGGCCUAGCACCAAGAGGAUCAACAGGUUUAGUACCCAGAGGGUCAUCAUGCCUAGCACCCAAGCUCUAAGGGGUCAUCGAGCCUAGCACCUAAGUCUCAUAGACCAACUGAGACUUAGCGUUUCCCCAAAGGUUUCAAUCGUGCAUCGUCAACCACAAUCCAGAUAAACAAUGAGAAGACCCACGAUCUCAUAACAUUGGGAGGUGGACAGAUAUCUCCACUACCCAAUAAUCGUGUAACCACGAUCUCCAGUAUUACUGAUCAUGUAAUAGCCCAUCGAUACUAUAAAUAAAGGACCCAUGGCUCUUUACUUUUGGGGAGUUGGUUUCUGGGGGAUCUUUGGACGAUUUUUAGAUGGAUAUUUUCUGGGGAGAGACUCUGGGAAAAUUGCUGACGAGUGAACUCUUCAGGUCAUUUGUAUAAUUGUCUAUUGAGCGAUUCAAUACUAAAGACUAAGUGGAUUAUGUUAUUAUUGUUCAUCAGAACAGGGCUGAACCACUAUAAAUUUCUGUGUGUUUGUUUAAGAUAUUUGUACUCUGUCGUAUAUUAUAUUUAUUUUGUUCAAAAGGUGUCGUAUACUGUACAUACGACCGUUGGCCAAUUUCACAGGUCAACAUUAUAUAUGGUGAUUCUAGUUUUAAAAUUA
Molecule: long non-coding RNA, 1149 nt
Organism: Humulus lupulus (European hop)
Lineage: Eukaryota; Viridiplantae; Streptophyta; Magnoliopsida; Rosales; Cannabaceae
Exons: 2
Source: RefSeq, a predicted model, not a curated record